UAUGGUAUACUUUUCCUUAGUAUCAUUAUUAUAACUUCCUCUUUUCAAUAUACGAAUUUUUGGUUUGGUCACAUCCGAUUUACUUUUCUUUUGGCCAUCUUCCAAAUCCGUCUUACUCUUUCCUUUUAGAGAAGACAUAAUGAGCUUAGUUGAACUUUCAGUGAGCUUAAUAUAACAACUGAAGUGCCUCAUAUGAUGUGCAAAUAGUUAGCUACUGGGGAUAUGACAAGUAGUACAUAUGAAGAUAUACAGCACUCAGCAGAAGUGUCAUGGAUUCAGGCGGAACUAAGCUGAUUCAGCUUUAUCACCAUAGCCAAACAUCCAGUAAUCAAGGGUGAAAGGGCUCCCUUUUCCUUGAAAGCCAUUGCAAUUAUUUUGCUUGGAUAGAUGAAUGUUUUGGAAUGACUAUGCAACAGCUACAUGAAAGCUGUGAAAACAUGGGAUGCCAACUUUGUGGAAGAGUAUGGAUGAUUUUGGCCAAAGAAUAACAUUUGAAAGUGAAGAUAUUUAUCGUGGCCUGAGGACCCAACUAUCAACUUAAAUCCCACACCUCAG
Fragaria vesca subsp. vesca is the source of this 555-nucleotide RNA transcript. RefSeq lists it as uncharacterized. Lineage: Eukaryota; Viridiplantae; Streptophyta; Magnoliopsida; Rosales; Rosaceae. The transcript is spliced from 5 exons. The record is from RefSeq and is a predicted model, not a curated record.